Molecule: non-coding RNA, 30 nt
Filed under: Rattus norvegicus (Norway rat)
Lineage: Eukaryota; Metazoa; Chordata; Mammalia; Rodentia; Muridae
Source: RNAcentral
UAAGAAGUAGGAUGCCAUGAUCCGCUUAGU